AUUGAACGCUGGCGGCAGGCCUAACACAUGCAAGUCGAACGGUAACAGGAAGAAGCUUGCUUCUUUGCUGACGAGUGGCGGACGGGUGAGUAAUGUCUGGGAAACUGCCUGAUGGAGGGGGAUAACUACUGGAAACGGUAGCUAAUACCGCAUAACGUCGCAAGACCAAAGAGGGGGACCUUCGGGCCUUUUGCCAUCGGAUGUGCCCAGAUGGGAUUAGCUAGUAGGUGGGGUAACGGCUCACCUAGGCGACGAUCCCUAGCUGGUCUGAGAGGAUGACCAGCCACACUGGAACUGAGACACGGUCCAGACUCCUACGGGAGGCAGCAGUGGGGAAUAUUGCACAAUGGGCGCAAGCCUGAUGCAGCCAUGCCGCGUGUAUGAAGAAGGCCUUCGGGUUGUAAAGUACUUUCAGCGGGGAGGAAGGGAGUAAAGUUAAUACCUUGGCUCAUUGACGUUACCCGCAGAAGAAGCACCGGCUAACUCCGUG
This 490-nucleotide ribosomal RNA is filed under the name uncultured bacterium. RNAcentral describes it as "partial 16S ribosomal RNA". It matches the Rfam family "Bacterial small subunit ribosomal RNA", at positions 30 to 507 of the family's 1533-position model. The record is from RNAcentral.